RNAcentral lists this ribosomal RNA (317 nucleotides) under Eclipidrilus frigidus. RNAcentral describes it as "partial 16S ribosomal RNA". It matches the Rfam family "Bacterial large subunit ribosomal RNA", at positions 1959 to 2517 of the family's 2925-position model. Lineage: Eukaryota; Metazoa; Annelida; Clitellata; Lumbriculida; Lumbriculidae. The record is from RNAcentral.
GCAUAAUAAUUUGCCCGUUAAUUGCGGGCUAGAAUGAACGGGUAAACGAAAUAUAUUCUGUCUCAAAUAGAUAAAAUUAAAUUAGCAUUUAGAUGAAGAGAUCUAAAUACAAUUGAAGGACAAGAAGACCCUAUAGAGCUUUACUUAUAAAUAUAAUUAAUAUUAAAAAGUUCGGUUGGGGCGACCUAGGAAUAUUUAUCAUCCUACAAAAUAAAGAUAUAUAUAUCAAUAAAUAUGACCCUUAUAAGAUCAAAAGAUCAAGCUACCUUAGGGAUAACAGGCUAAUCCUCCCAGAGAGACCUUAUCAACAGGAGGGA